This 468-nucleotide ribosomal RNA is filed under the name uncultured bacterium. Its description in RNAcentral is "partial 16S ribosomal RNA". It matches the Rfam family "Bacterial small subunit ribosomal RNA", at positions 28 to 507 of the family's 1533-position model. The record is from RNAcentral.
GAUGAACGCUGGCGGCGUGCUUAACACAUGCAAGUCGAACGGCAAGGCCCUGCUUUUGUGGGGUGCUCGAGUGGCGAACGGGUGCGUAACACGUGAGUAACCUGCCCUUGACUUUGGAAUAACUUCUGGAAACUGGGGCUAAUACCGGAUAGGAGCUCCUGCUGCAUGGUGUGGGUUGGUAAGUUUCGGCGGUUGGGGGUGGACUCGCGGCUUAUGAGCUUGUUGGUGGGGUAGUGGCUUACCAAGGCUUUGACGGGUAGCCGGCCUGAGAGGGUGACCGGCCACAGUGGGACUGAGAUACGGCCCAGACUCGUACGGGAGGCAGCAGUGGGGAAGAUUGCACGAUGGGCGGAAGCCGGAUGCAGCAACGCCGCGUGCGGGAUGAUGGCCUUCGGGUUGUAAACCACUUUCGCCUGUAACGAUGCGUUAGUGACGGUAAUGGAUAAAGAAGCACCGGCUAACUACGUG